This 759-nucleotide unclassified non-coding RNA is filed under the name Hevea brasiliensis (rubber tree). The record is from RNAcentral. Lineage: Eukaryota; Viridiplantae; Streptophyta; Magnoliopsida; Malpighiales; Euphorbiaceae.
GGUAGAAGAUGAUAGUGCCUGAUUUCAUCACAAUAGCAUGCCCAUACUGCAUGUCGUUUAAGGUACAAAAAAGCUGAAUCUUCACUAUAUUGAUUGUUUGGCUCCCCAUGAUGAUCAAAACAUUGAAAAAAAAUGUUCCACCAUCAAACCUCACCUUUCCUUAGUGAAUCUCUGGAAGGAUCAGCAAACCGAACAGAGAAAGAUCGAGAGAGGUUUUCAGGCUCAUCCUUUCCAGACCCUUGAUCAAAAUUCUGCAAGUAACUAUAUUCAUCAUAAUAUGGUGGUACCUGCAAGGGACCUGAUGAAGACUCGAACAACUUCUUCUUUUCUUUCUUUAACUUCAUCCACAGGACUUUCCACCUGAGCUUGUUCAAUCCGGCCGGUGAUUGUGAGCUCGCGGAAUUAAUUUCUUCAUAACACUGGCCCAACCGAAUAGUUCUGCUGCGAGAAUUGCACCAGUCACCGAUGCCCAUUGCAGUGAAACAGCUAGAAAAGUUAAAUUCUUUUGGUUGCUGAAGCUCCCUAGCUUGCUAGAGAAACUAAAUAAUGUAAAAGUGAAUAUCAAGAGCUGAAUUUAUCAGUCUAGAGAAGGUAGUUGGCUGGCUAUUCAAGACUGAAGAUUUGCUGAGGUCUGAAAUGCCAAGCAUUAUAUGAAGUCGGCUUUAGCAAAGCAAAAUAUGCUCCAAGUCCAAGCCUCCAACUUCGUUGAAAACUGCAAGACUUAAAAACGUGAUAAGAACUGCUCACUUUUGAUUUUUC